RNAcentral lists this ribosomal RNA (456 nucleotides) under uncultured bacterium. Its description in RNAcentral is "bacterial SSU rRNA". It matches the Rfam family "Bacterial small subunit ribosomal RNA", at positions 340 to 789 of the family's 1533-position model. The record is from RNAcentral.
UACGGGAGGCAGCAGUGGGGAAUAUUGCACAAUGGGCGCAAGCCUGAUGCAGCCAUGCCGCGUGUAUGAAAAAGGCCUUCGGGUUGUAAAGUACUUUCAGUCGUGAGGAAGGUGUUAAGGUUAAUAACCUUAGCAAUUGACGUUAGCGACAGAAGAAGCACCGGCUAACUCCGUGCCAGCAGCCGCGGUAAUACGGAGGGUGCGAGCGUUAAUCGGAAUUACUGGGCGUAAAGGGCACGCAGGCGGUUAAUUAAGUUGGAUGUGAAAUUCCCGGGCUUAACCUGGGAAUGGCAUUCAAGCUGGUUAGCUAGAGUCUUGUAGAGGGGGGUAGAAUUCCAUGUGUAGCGGUGAAAUGCGUAGAGAUGUGGAGGAAUACCGGUGGCGAAGGCGGCCCCUGGACAAAGACUGACGCUCAUGUGCGAAAGCGUGGGGAGCAAACAGGGAUUAGAUACCCGU